This 974-nucleotide ribosomal RNA is filed under the name uncultured bacterium. RNAcentral describes it as "bacterial SSU rRNA". It matches the Rfam family "Bacterial small subunit ribosomal RNA", at positions 1 to 1009 of the family's 1533-position model. The record is from RNAcentral.
AGAAGUUUGAUCAUGGCUCAGAACGAACGCUGGCGGGGUGCCCUAACACAUGCAAGUCGAACGAGACCUUCGCGGUCUAGUGGCGCACGGGUGCGUAAGAAGUGGGAAUAUGCCCUUGGGUUCGGAAAUAAACAGUUGGAAACGAUUGCUAAUACCGGAUAAUGACGUAAGUCCAAAGAUUUAUCGCCCAAGGAUGAGCCCGCGUAGGAUUAGCUAGUUGGUGAGGUAAAGGCUCACCAAGGCGACGAUCCUUAGCUGGUCUGAGAGGAUGAUCAGCCACACUGGGACUGAGACACGGCCCAGACUCCUACGGGAGGCAGCAGUGGGGAAUAUUGGACAAUGGGCGAAAGCCUGAUCCAGCAAUGCCGCGUGAGUGAUGAAGGCCUUAGGGUUGUAAAGCUCUUUUACCCGAAAUGAUAAUGAAAGUACCGGGAGAAUAAGCUCCGGCUAACUCCGUGCCAGCAGCCGCGGUAAUACGGAGGGAGCUAGCGUUGUUCGGAAUUACUGGGCGUAAAGCGCACGUAGGCGGCUUUGUAAGUUAGAGGUGAAAGCCUGGAGCUCAACUCCAGAAUUGCCUUUAAGACUGCAUCGCUUGAAUCCAGGAGAGGUGAGUGGGAAUUCCGAGUGUAGAGGUGAAAUUCGUAGAUAUUCGGAAGAACACCAGUGGCGAAGGCGGCUCACUGGACUGGUAUUGACGCUGAGGUGCGAAAGCGUGGGGAGCAAACUUGAUUAGAUACCCUGGUAGUUCCACGCCGUAAACGAGUUAUAACUAGCUGUCAGGGUUCUUAAGAACUUUGGGUGGCGCAGCUAACGCAUUAAGUUACCCGCCUGGGGGAGACCGGUCCGCAAGAUUAAAACUCAAAGGAAUUGACGGGGGCCCUGCACAAGCGGUGGAGCAUGUGGUUUAAUUUCGAAGCAACGCGCARAACCUUCACCAGCAGUUUGACAUGGCUAGUAUGGUUUUCCAGAGAUGG